Molecule: RNA transcript, 407 nt
Organism: Sapajus apella (tufted capuchin)
Lineage: Eukaryota; Metazoa; Chordata; Mammalia; Primates; Cebidae
Gene name: 40S ribosomal protein S28 pseudogene
Exons: 1
Source: RefSeq, a predicted model, not a curated record
GAAUAAGGCUCUCCGCCAGACCGCUGCCGAGCCGCCAUCAUGGAUACGAGCCGUGUGCAGCCUAUCAAGUUGGCCAGGGUCACCAAAGUCCUCGGCAGGACCGGUUCUCAGGGACAGUGCACGCAGGUGCGCGGGGAAUUUAUGGACGACACGAGCCGCUCCAUCAUCCGCAACGUAAAAGGUCCCGUGCACGAGGGCGACGUGCUGACCCUGUUGGAGUCCGAGCGAGAGGCCCGGAGGUUGCGCUGAGUUUGGCUGCUCGCUGGGUUUUGGAUGUUGGAUUCGACCACUUGAGAUGGAAAUGGUGUGUCACGAUCUGGUCCUUUAUUUUAUGCUGCCACACGUAAAUUGAGAUGGACCUUUAAAUAAAGCCUUUGUGAUAGAAGUUAAAAAAAAAAAAAAAAAAA